CUCCUACUCCCUCCGUCCCAAAAUUCUUGUCUUAAAUUUGUCUAAAAAUGAAUGUUUCAAUAUACUAAAACGUGACUAGAUACACCACUAUUUAAAUAAAUCUAAGACAAAAAAUUUAAGACGAAGGGAGUAUAAA
This is a non-coding RNA of Hordeum vulgare subsp. vulgare (domesticated barley), 136 nucleotides long. NCBI's taxonomy places the organism in Eukaryota, Viridiplantae, Streptophyta, Magnoliopsida, Poales, Poaceae. The record is from Rfam.